UACAAGAAUUCUACUAAUAAACAUCUGACUUAUUUACUAUGACAGUUACAUGUGGUGGAAUAUUUAAGGGACCAGUUGGAAGUUUCACGUCACCGAACUAUCCUUCUAAGUAUUGUAUUGAUCAACAUUGUUAUUACAAUAUCACAGUUGCAGAAGGUUUAAAAGUAAUGCUGAAAUUCACUUACUUUCAUUUAGAGGCGGGAAUCAGCACUACCGGUCUGCCUUAUGACUUUGUGCAGAUAUAUGAUGGUGAGGUUAAAGCCGAAGCAUUACUAGAUACUUUGUAAGGCGGUCCUACUGAAGGAAAAGAAUUUAAUUCCACUUCCAAUAAGAUGAUCAUUCACUUCGUAACUGAUGAUCGUGACCAUUUUCCUGGGUUCAGUGUCAGUUAUAAAACCUUACAAUGAUUCUCCUACACAAAAUGCACCAAGUGAAAAUAAUACCAGAAAGGAGUUAAAAGAAUACGUAGCCUGCAGCAUACUUCGUUA
This is a long non-coding RNA of Mytilus trossulus (common blue mussel), 488 nucleotides long. RefSeq lists it as uncharacterized. NCBI's taxonomy places the organism in Eukaryota, Metazoa, Mollusca, Bivalvia, Mytilida, Mytilidae. The transcript is spliced from 3 exons. The record is from RefSeq and is a predicted model, not a curated record.